RNAcentral lists this ribosomal RNA (1995 nucleotides) under Triticum aestivum (bread wheat). RNAcentral's name for it is "partial small subunit ribosomal RNA". The record is from RNAcentral. Lineage: Eukaryota; Viridiplantae; Streptophyta; Magnoliopsida; Poales; Poaceae.
AUGCCAAGAACCGUGUCGGACGGAGGCGAGGACUUUGACGGCGACGUCUCCAGCCAGACGGGGUCGCACCGUUACACAGACAGCAACAGCACCCACCACCACCACCACCAUGGCUACAAGGUCGGGUUCCCGCCGGCGAAGGGCCUCCUCGCGGAGUUCGCAGAUGGGGUGAAGGAGACAUUCUUCGCCGACGAUCCGCUGCGUGAGUACAAGGACCAACCGAGGUCCAAGAAGCUGUGGCUCAGCCUGGUGCACCUCUUCCCGGUGCUGGACUGGGCCAGGAGCUACAGCUUCGGCAAGUUCAAAGGGGACUUCGUCGCCGGCCUCACCAUCGCCAGCCUCUGCAUACCUCAGGACAUCGGUUAUGCCAAGCUUGCUUUCCUGCCAGCACAUGUUGGACUGUACAGUAGCUUCGUUCCGCCUUUGGUAUACGCUAUGAUGGGCAGUUCCAGGGAUAUAGCCAUAGGUCCGGUGGCCGUCGUGUCCCUGUUGCUUGGAACUCUCCUCCAGGAAGAGAUCGAUCCAGUCAAGAAUCCGUAUGAGUACAGCCGGCUGGCCUUCACCGCAACAUUCUUCGCGGGGAUCACUCAGGCGAUGCUUGGAUUCUUCAGGCUAGGGUUUAUCAUAGAGUUCCUGUCUCAUGCAGCCAUCGUUGGUUUCAUGGCGGGUGCCGCCGUAACCAUUGCCCUUCAGCAGCUCAAAGGCUUCCUUGGCAUCAAAAAAUUCACCAAGAAGUCUGAUAUCAUCUCGGUCAUGGAGUCAGUAUGGGGAAAUGUACACCAUGGGUGGAACUAUCAGACGAUAUUGAUUGGCGCAUCCUUCUUGGCGUUUCUUCUAACUACCAAAUACAUCGCCAAGAAGAAUAAGAAGCUCUUCUGGGUUUCUGCAAUCGCCCCGCUCAUUUCAGUUGUCAUAUCCACCUUCUGUGUGUUCAUCACCCAUGCAGACAAGCAGGGCGUUGCAAUUGUCAAGGAUAUAAAGCAAGGCAUCAAUCCACCUUCAUUUCAUCUCAUAUAUUGGUCUGGCCCAUACUUGGCGAAAGGAUUCAGAAUUGGUGUAGUAGCUGGAAUGGUUGCCCUUACGGAAGCAAUCGCAAUUGGAAGAACAUUUGCUGCCAUGAAGGACUACCAAAUAGAUGGGAACAAAGAAAUGGUAGCUCUAGGAACCAUGAACAUUGUUGGCUCAAUGACUUCAUGCUACGUGGCCACAGGUUCUUUCUCGCGAUCAGCAGUAAAUUACAUGGCUGGCUGCAAAACAGCAGUAUCCAAUGUUGUUAUGGCAAUUGUAGUGAUGCUCACACUGUUGUUGAUCACUCCAUUGUUCAAGUACACGCCCAAUGCCAUUCUAGCUUCCAUCAUCAUAAAUGCAGUGGUUAGCCUAGUUGACUAUGAGACGGCGUACCUUAUCUGGAAGGUUGAUAAAAUGGAUUUCGUGGCAUUGCUAGGAGCAUUCUUCGGGGUCGUAUUUGCAUCAGUGGAGUAUGGCUUGCUCAUUGCGGUUGCAAUAUCUCUUGGAAAAAUUCUUCUCCAAGUAACACGGCCGAGAACAGCUUUACUCGGCAACCUCCCAAGAACAACGAUCUACAGGAAUGUUGAACAAUACCCAGAAGCUACCAAGGUGCCCGGGGUUAUGAUUGUCAGAGUGGACUCAGCUAUCUACUUCACAAACUCCAAUUAUGUUAAAGAGAGAAUCCUGAGAUGGCUGAGGGAUGAGGAGGAACAACAGCAGGAACAGAAGUUGUCCAAAACAGAGUUUCUCAUUGUUGAGCUAUCUCCGGUAACUGAUAUCGACACAAGUGGAAUCCAUGCUUUGGAAGAGUUGCUGAAAGCACUUGAAAAGCGCAAAAUUCAGCUGAUCCUCGCCAAUCCCGGGCCGGCAGUAAUCCAGAAGCUGCGGUCAGCGAAAUUCACAGACCUCAUCGGCGACGACAAAAUAUUCCUGUCGGUCAGCGACGCAGUGAAGAAAUUUGCUCCGAAGUCAGCCCUGAACGUCUGA